GUAGUGGGGGAUAACGUCCGGAAACGGGCGCUAAUACCGCAUACGUCCUGAGGGAGAAAGUGGGGGAUCUUCGGACCUCACGCUAUCAGAUGAGCCUAGGUCGGAUUAGCUAGUUGGUGGGGUAAAGGCUCUACCAAGGCGACGAUCCGUAACUGGUCUGAGAGGAUGAUCAGUCACACUGGAACUGAGACACGGUCCAGACUCCUACGGGAGGCAGCAGUGGGGAAUAUUGGACAAUGGGCGAAAGCCUGAUCCAGCCAUGCCGCGUGUGUGAAGAAGGUCUUCGGAUUGUAAAGCACUUUAAGUUGGGAGGAAGGGCAGUAAGUUAAUACCUUGCUGUUUUGACGUUACCAACAGAAUAAGCACCGGCUAACUUCGUGCCAGCAGCCGCGGUAAUACGAAGGGUGCAAGCGUUAAUCGGAAUUACUGGGCGUAAAGCGCGCGUAGGUGGUUCAGCAAGUUGGAUGUGAAAUCCCCGGGCUCAACCUGGGAACUGCAUCCAAAACUACUGAGCUAGAGUACGGUAGAGGGUGGUGGAAUUUCCUGUGUAGCGGUGAAAUGCGUAGAUAUAGGAAGGAACACCAG
Molecule: ribosomal RNA, 585 nt
Filed under: Pseudomonas aeruginosa
Lineage: Bacteria; Pseudomonadati; Pseudomonadota; Gammaproteobacteria; Pseudomonadales; Pseudomonadaceae
Description: bacterial SSU rRNA
Rfam family: Bacterial small subunit ribosomal RNA
Source: RNAcentral